AAAAAAAUAAAUAAGAUACAACUUGAUAAAGAAAUACUCUCCCAGCGUUAAUUUUAUUAAAAGCACCUUUUUGGCAUGCACCGAAUUCGUUGGACUAAUGCCCUUGUUAUAGAAUUUGAGUCCGUCUGUAGUUUUUCUGCCUCACCAAAAUAAGAAAUGGCAAGUAAUCCUAUCAUACUGUCAUGUACUAUUCAAGAGGGUACUCUCCUAUAGUUUUGGGACAAAUAUAAUUCUAUUAAAGUUGUACAAUUUUACUCCCUACUCAGUCUCUGAGCUGUGCUGCAAAAUCAAUUAGUUGCAAAUUCUGUUUUGGCUCACUUUUAUUUGGACAACAAUAUUACUUCUUCAGCUUGAUGCUUCGUCUCAAUAGGACCUUUGACACUAGUCCUCUUAAGAGGAAAUGUUACUGCAAUCAGCAAGCAUGGAAUUGGAUCAGUUAAUUUAAAAAGACAUCUAGCCACAAUUAAGCAUGAUUCAAAUGAAACCAAAACACGUGAAACUCCAAAGGUUGUAAAGUUUUAACAGAUUAAACUAUAAUUCUAUCAAAGCUAGAGAGAGGGAUUACGCAUAACAGAAUUAUAAAAGCAUAACCAAAUUUUGUGGGUGGAAGCUAGUCAUUAUAAAAGCAUGAUAAAAGAUAUCCAAAGCAAGCAGGACAGAAAGUUGUACGCAAAUUUCAUACAAGUUAAUGAACUUCAAACGCAACAAAAAUAAAAUUUAACACUGAUAAAUGGAAUUACAACCACAAUAGAUGAACCGGCUUAAUACUCUUUCUGCAAAUCAGAUUUACCUAGCUAUUAAAAGAAGCAAGAUAAACAAAUCGCUGUAACUAAAGAAACACAUGCUUGAUUUUCUGCCAUAAAGUAUAGUAAUGUUUGACAAAAAUAGAGAAAGUAUAUAAAAUAAAAACAAUGCAAUGAAGUGAACAGAUAAUACUGGGCAAUCAUCAUUCUAAGGAUUAAACAUGAAAAUCAAAAGGCAUGCCUUUACAGAUACAUAUAUAACAUCAAACAACAAGAUCACACUCACCCUUUUCUGAGAACUUUCAACCCAAUAUUUAUUAGGUUUCGAGAACCUUAGCUUGCCAGCCUUCAUUACCGAAAUUGCAUCACAGUCCUAGAAGAAUUGUUACAGGAAAAGAAGGUAAGAACCAUGAAAGGAUUCGCCAUAAACUAGCAUCAAGCCAUAACAAGAGUACAAACCUCAACCUUUAGUCAUAAACACGAACAACAACAACCAUCGCAAAAGCUGAAUUCCAAUAAGAUUAAAAAUCUCCAUUUCAGAAGGCAUUGCUAAAGUCAAAUUGCCUUAUAGUGAAGUUUCUAGAGAGAGCAAGACUUAACACAACUCUAAUUGUUGUAGGUCUAAUAACUGGACUAACAACAUGCUUGAAAUCAAACCCCUCUUCUUAAUAGAAUCCUUGAGCAACAAGCAUAACUUUAUACUUUUGAACACUACCAUUAAAAUGUCUUUUUAUAGCAAAAACCCACUUAUAACCUAUUAUCUUAGCAUGCUCAGAUGUUGGAACCAAAGUCCAAGUUUGAUUUUUUAUUAAGGCAUGAUACUCAUCAAGCAUAGCCUUAUGCCAGUGUGGUAUUUGUAAAGCAAGUUUAGCAGUUUUAGGAGGUUGUUCAUCUGUGAAUUCUUUAUGAAAAGGAGUGUGAAAGAGUUUAGAAGUGAUUGCAACUGUUUUAGAGCGAGUAAGCAUGUUGUGAGUGUUCUUGGGCACAAUAUUACCAGGUUGUGUAGUUGCAGUUCGUAAUUCUGAUGCUGUGUGUAUAGGGAGUUGAAUUUUAAUUCUUCAAAUAGGCAUCAUUCUUUGACCUGUGAAUCCAUAUUAAUUUCAAUAGUAGAAUCAUAAUGCUUAUUCUUGUCAUUGUUAAUGAUAGAUUUAUUGUAACUUGUAAGAGUUAGAUUUUAAUGCAGGAAUCUGUAAACUAAUAGAAGGAAUAAUCUUAUCAGUAUUUGUUUUAGAAUCAAUUUGAUGUUAGGAAACUAAUUCAGAAUAUAGAAAGCAAUUUUCAUCAAACACAUUUCUAGAAACAAAUUUUGUUAUUAAAAGAUAAACACUUGUAUCCUUCAUCCUUUAUAUUGAGAGUCAUAACCAAUAAACACACAUUUAGAUUUUUUAAUGACAGAGGGAGAGGAAGAAAAGGGAUCCAUGAAUUGAAAAGGCAUAAUGAUUAACUAACCUCCAAGCGUUGAGCGGCGGUGGCAGUAGGUUGCGGUGGCGGCGGAGGCGUGUUGCGGCGGCGAAGAUAUGCUAAUGAGAUUUGCAGCAGAGGAAGAGGAAGAGAGAAAUGCAGGAAUUGAAAUUGUAUGAAAACCCUAGCAGACCUUCUCUUCUCUUCUCUGAAUGCUUCUAACGUGAGAAUGAAA
RNAcentral lists this long non-coding RNA (2379 nucleotides) under Arachis ipaensis. RNAcentral's name for it is "long non-coding RNA (AIPA_LNC001105)". Lineage: Eukaryota; Viridiplantae; Streptophyta; Magnoliopsida; Fabales; Fabaceae. The record is from RNAcentral.